RNAcentral lists this ribosomal RNA (532 nucleotides) under uncultured bacterium. Its description in RNAcentral is "bacterial SSU rRNA". It matches the Rfam family "Bacterial small subunit ribosomal RNA", at positions 8 to 526 of the family's 1533-position model. The record is from RNAcentral.
AGAGUUUGAUCAUGGCUCAGGACGAACGCUGGCGGCGUGCUUGACACAUGCAAGUGGAGCGACGAACCAGGGCUUGCCCUGGGGCAGAGCCGCGAACGGGUGAGUAACACGUGGGUAACGUGCCCCAAUGAUCGGGACAACCCGGGGAAACCCGGGCUAAUACCGAAUGUGCUCCCCUCACACCAGUGAGGGAUGGAAAGGAAGCUUCGGCCUCCGCAUUGGGAUCGGCCCGCGGCCCAUUAGCUUGUUGGUGAGGUAACGGCUCACCAAGGCUGCGAUGGGUAGCUGGUCUGAGAGGACGAUCAGCCACACUGGGACUGAGACACGGCCCAGACUCCUACGGGAGGCAGCAGUGGGGAAUCUUGCGCAAUGCGCGAAAGCGUGACGCAGCAACGCCGCGUGGGGGAAGAAGGCCUUCGGGUUGUAAACCCCUUUCAGGAGGGACGAAGCGCGGGCGGUUAAUAGCCGACCCGUGUGACGGUACCUCCAGAAGAAGCCCCGGCUAACUACGUGCUAGCAGCCGCGGAAACAC